Molecule: ribosomal RNA, 498 nt
Filed under: uncultured bacterium
Lineage: Bacteria
Description: bacterial SSU rRNA
Rfam family: Bacterial small subunit ribosomal RNA
Source: RNAcentral
CUACGUGCCAGCAGCCGCGGUAAUACGUAGGGUGCGAGCGUUAAUCGGAAUUACUGGGCGUAAAGCGAGCGCAGACGGUUACUUAAGCAGGAUGUGAAAUCCCCGGGCUCAACCUGGGAACUGCGUUCUGAACUGGGUAGCUAGAGUAUGUCAGAGGGGGGUAGAAUUCCACGUGUAGCAGUGAAAUGCGUAGAGAUGUGGAGGAAUACCGAUGGCGAAGGCAGCCCCCUGGGAUAAUACUGACGUUCAUGCUCGAAAGCGUGGGUAGCAAACAGGAUUAGAUACCCUGGUAGUCCACGCUGUAAACGAUGUCGAUUUGGGGGUUGAGCUUUAAGCUUGGCGCCCGUAGCUAACGUGAUAAAUCGACCGCCUGGGGAGUACGGCCGCAAGGUUAAAACUCAAAUGAAUUGACGGGGGCCCGCACAAGCGGUGGAGCAUGUGGUUUAAUUCGAUGCAACGCGAAGAACCUUACCUACUCUUGACAUCCAGAGAACAUUC